RNAcentral lists this ribosomal RNA (253 nucleotides) under uncultured bacterium. Its description in RNAcentral is "partial 16S ribosomal RNA". It matches the Rfam family "Bacterial small subunit ribosomal RNA", at positions 524 to 776 of the family's 1533-position model. The record is from RNAcentral.
UACGUAGGGGGCAAGCGUUGUCCGGAUUUAUUGAGCGUAAAGAGCGUGUAGGCGGCUUUACAGGUCCGUUGUGAAAACUCGAGGCUCAACCUCGAGACGCCGGUGGAAACCGUAAAGCUAGAGUCCGGAAGAGGAGAGUGGAAUUCCUGGUGUAGCGGUGAAAUGCGCAGAUAUCAGGAGGAACACCCGUGGCGAAAGCGGCUCUCUGGGACGGUACUGACGCUGAGACGCGAAAGCGUGGGGAGCGAACAGG